AUUGAACGCUGGCGGCAUGCCUUACACAUGCAAGUCGAACGGUAACAGGUCUUCGGAUGCUGACGAGUGGCGAACGGGUGAGUAAUACAUCGGAACGUGCCUAGUAGUGGGGGAUAACUACUCGAAAGAGUGGCUAAUACCGCAUGAGAUCUACGGAUGAAAGCAGGGGAUCGCAAGACCUUGUGCUACUAGAGCGGCCGAGGGCAGAUUAGGUAGUUGGUGGGAUAAAGGCUUACCAAGCCGACGAUCUGUAGCUGGGCUGAGAGGACGAUCAGCCACACAGGGACUGAGACACGGCACAGACUCCUACGGGAGGCAGCAGUGGGGAAUGUUGGACAAGGGGCGAAAGCCUGAUCCAGCAAGGCCGCGUGAAGGAUGAAGGCCUUCGGUUUGUAAACUGCUUUUGUACGGAACGAAAAGCCCUGGGUUAAUACCCUGGGGUCAUGACGGUACCGUAAGAAUAAGCACCGGCUAACUACGUGCCAGCCGCCGCCGUAA
RNAcentral lists this ribosomal RNA (498 nucleotides) under uncultured bacterium. Its description in RNAcentral is "partial 16S ribosomal RNA". It matches the Rfam family "Bacterial small subunit ribosomal RNA", at positions 30 to 523 of the family's 1533-position model. The record is from RNAcentral.